UGGAUUAAGAGCUUGCUCUUAUGAAAUUAGCGGCGGACGGGUGAGUAACAAGUGGGUAACCUGCCCAUAAGAAUGGGAUAACUCCGGGAAACCGGGGCUAAUACCGGAUAACAUUUUGAACUGCAUGGUUCGAAAUUGAAAGGCGGCUUCGGCUGUCACUUAUGGAUGGACCCGCGUCGCAUUAGCUAGUUGGUGAGGUAACGGCUCACCAAGGCAACGAUGCGUAGCCGACCUGAGAGGGUGAUCGGCCACACUGGGACUGAGACACGGCCCAGACUCCUACGGGAGGCAGCAGUAGGGAAUCUUCCGCAAUGGACGAAAGUCUGACGGAGCAACGCCGCGUGAGUGAUGAAGGCUUUCGGGUCGUAAAACUCUGUUGUUAGGGAAGAACAAGUGCUAGUUGAAUAAGCUGGCACCUUGACGGUACCUAACCAGAAAGCCACGGCUAACUACGUGCCAGCAGCCGCGGUAAUACGUAGGUGGCAAGCGUUAUCCGGAAUUAUUGGGCGUAAAGCGCGCGCAGGUGGUUUCUUAAGUCUGAUGUGAAAGCCCACGGCUCAACCGUGGAGGGUCAUUGGAAACUGGGAGACUUGAGUGCAGAAGAGGAAAGUGGAAUUCCAUGUGUAGCGGUGAAAUGCGUAGAGAUAUGGAGGAACACCAGUGGCGAAGGCGACUUUCUGGUCUGUAACUGAC
Molecule: ribosomal RNA, 693 nt
Filed under: uncultured bacterium
Lineage: Bacteria
Description: bacterial SSU rRNA
Rfam family: Bacterial small subunit ribosomal RNA
Source: RNAcentral